UAUGCAAACUUAAAGCACGGAUGAUGAUGUGAAAACCCCAUAGAGAAAAUGCAUUGGAUAUGGAAUUUCAUACUUGGGCAAAGGAUUGUG
This is a long non-coding RNA of Myripristis murdjan (pinecone soldierfish), 90 nucleotides long. RefSeq lists it as uncharacterized. The transcript has 4 exons. The record is from RefSeq and is a predicted model, not a curated record. NCBI's taxonomy places the organism in Eukaryota, Metazoa, Chordata, Actinopteri, Holocentriformes, Holocentridae.